RNAcentral lists this ribosomal RNA (455 nucleotides) under uncultured bacterium. RNAcentral's name for it is "partial 16S ribosomal RNA". It matches the Rfam family "Bacterial small subunit ribosomal RNA", at positions 342 to 795 of the family's 1533-position model. The record is from RNAcentral.
CCUGAGGCAGCAGUGAGGAAUAUUGGUCAAUGGCCGGAAGGCUGAACCAGCCAAGCCGCGUGAAGGACGAAGGUGCCAAGCAUUGUAAACUUCUUUUGUCAAGGGACAAAAUCAGGCUCGAGAGCCUGACCGAGGGUACUUGAAGAAAAAGCAUCGGCUAACUCCGUGCCAGCAGCCGCGGUAAUACGGAGGAUGCGAGCGUUAUCCGGAUUUAUUGGGUUUAAAGGGUGCGUAGGCGGACUGUUAAGUCAGCGGUAAAAGCCCGGGGCUCAACCCCGGCGAGCCGUUGAAACUGGCUGUCUUGAGAUGUCGAGAGGUAUGCGGAAUGCGCAGUGUAGCGGUGAAAUGCUUAGAUAUCACGCAGAACCCCGAUUGCGAAGGCAGCCUGCCAAGCCAUGACUGACGCUGAUGCACGAAAGCGUGGGGAUCAAACAGGAUUAGAUACCCUGGUAGUC